RNAcentral lists this ribosomal RNA (433 nucleotides) under uncultured bacterium. RNAcentral's name for it is "partial 16S ribosomal RNA". It matches the Rfam family "Bacterial small subunit ribosomal RNA", at positions 29 to 507 of the family's 1533-position model. The record is from RNAcentral.
AGCGAACGCUGGCGGCAGGCCUAACACAUGCAAGUCGAACGAACUCUUCGGAGUUAGUUGCGGACGGGUGAGUAACACGUGGGAACGUGCCUUUAGGUUCGGAAUAACUCAGGGAAACUUGUGCUAAUACCGAAUGUGCCCUUCUGGGGAAAGAUUUAUCGCCUUUAGAGCGGCCCGCGUCUUAUUAGCUAGUUGGUGAGGUAAAGGCUCACCAAGGCGACGAUCAGUAGCUGGUCUGAGAGGAUGAUCAGCCACAUUGGGACUGAGACACGGCCCAAACUCCUACGGGAGGCAGCAGUGGGGAAUCUUGCGCAAUGGGCGAAAGCCUGACGCAGCCAUGCCGCGUGAAUGAUGAAGGUCUUAGGAUUGUAAAAUUCUUUCACCGGGGACGAUAAUGACGGUACCCGGAGAAGAAGCCCCGGCUAACUUCGUG